GACGAACGCUGGCGGCGUGCUUAACACAUGCAAGUCGAACGGAAAGGCCUUUUCGGAGGUACUCGAGUGGCGAACGGGUGAGUAACACGUGGGUGAUCUGCCCUGCACUCUGGGAUAAGCCUGGGAAACUGGGUCUAAUACCGGAUAGGACCGCACUUUAGUGUGUGUGGUGGAAAGUUUUUUCGGUGUAGGAUGAGCCCGCGGCCUAUCAGCUUGUUGGUGGGGUAAUGGCCUACCAAGGCGGCGACGGGUAGCCGGACUGAGAGGUUGGUCGGCCACAUUGGGACUGAGAUAAGGACCAGACGCCGACGGGAGGCAGCAGUGGGGAAGAUUGCACAAUGGGCGCAAGCCUGAUGCAGCGACGCCGCGUGGGGGAUGACGGACUUCGGGUUGUAAACUCCUUUCGCCAGGGACGAAGCGUUUUGUGACGGUACCUGGAGAAGAAGCACCGGCUAACUACGUG
Molecule: ribosomal RNA, 463 nt
Filed under: uncultured bacterium
Lineage: Bacteria
Description: partial 16S ribosomal RNA
Rfam family: Bacterial small subunit ribosomal RNA
Source: RNAcentral